This 429-nucleotide ribosomal RNA is filed under the name Acidobacteriota bacterium. Its description in RNAcentral is "Acidobacteria bacterium partial 16S ribosomal RNA". It matches the Rfam family "Bacterial small subunit ribosomal RNA", at positions 355 to 776 of the family's 1533-position model. The record is from RNAcentral. Lineage: Bacteria; Pseudomonadati; Acidobacteriota.
UGGGGAAUUUUGGACAAUGGGGGAAACCCUGAUCCAGCCAUCCCGCGUGUGCGAUGAAGGCCUGCGGGUUGUAAAGCACUUUUUGCAGGAAAGAAACGUCAUGGGUUAAUACCCCGUGAAACUGACGGUACCUGCAGAAUAAGCACCGGCUAACUACGUGCCAGCAGCCGCGGUAAUACGUAGGGUGCAAGCGUUAAUCGGAAUUACUGGGCGUAAAGCGUGCGCAGGCGGUUCGGAAAGAAAGAUGUGAAAUCCCAGAGCUCAACUUUGGAACUGCAUUUUUAACUACCGGGCUAGAGUGUGUCAGAGGGAGGUGGAAUUCCGCGUGUAGCAGUGAAAUGCGUAGAUAUGCGGAGGAACACCGAUGGCGAAGGCAGCCUCCUGGGAUAACACUGACGCUCAUGCACGAAAGCGUGGGGAGCAAACAGG